Molecule: ribosomal RNA, 974 nt
Filed under: uncultured eukaryote
Lineage: Eukaryota
Description: eukaryotic LSU rRNA
Rfam family: Eukaryotic small subunit ribosomal RNA (bases 1-241)
Source: RNAcentral
UUGCUCUUCAACGAGGAAUGCCUAGUAAGCGCGAGUCAUCAGCUCGCGUUGAUUACGUCCCUGCCCUUUGUACACACCGCCCGUCGCUCCUACCGAUUGGGUGUGCUGGUGAGAUGUCGGGAUUAGUGGCUGUGGGCGGUUCGCCGCCCUCUGCCGCUGAGAACUUCAUCAAACCCUCCCACCUAGAGGAAGGAGAAGUCGUAACAAGGUUCCUGUAGGUGAACCUGCAGGAGGAUCAUUGAAUCGGUCGAACCAAACCAGCGAACCAAUUGAUUGUGCCCACAUUGACCCCCUUCACCGGGCCAGUCGGUGUGCGUUGGCAUAGGACAAUGGCGGGAAUAGGCCUGCCCCUACUUGUAGCCUGGAGCGGCUGCUUGGGCCAGCGGGGACAAUCUUGUCCCGGUUGGUCUGCCAUCGGCUCGUUUGAGCUGGGCUUCAUCGCCUGGCUCAGCGGGUGGCCUGGCCCACCAAUUCCAAUAACAACUGAAGCCAUUCGAGGCCUGGCCUAGCCAGAAGCCUUGAGACACAAAGACAACUCUCAACAACGGAUAUCUUGGCUCCCGUAACGAUGAAGAACGCAGCGAAGUGCGAUAAGUAGUGUGAAUUGCAGAUUUCCGUGAACCAUCGAGUUUUUGAACGCAAAUUGCGCUCGAGGCCUCCGGGUCGAGAGCAUGUCUGCCUCAGCGUCGCUCAUACCAAAUCGGCUCCUCCGCUUUGAAUAAAAGGGGGAGGGUGCCGGAUCUGGCCGUCCGGUUGCACAGGCCGGUCGGCUGAAAGGAUUGCUCCGCUCGCAGCCUCCCUUUAAUGGGAAGGAGCCAGCCGGUAAGCAUGACCUUCUCCUAUUGGAGUUGGCCUGGCCUGCCGUUGAGUUCUGGUUGUGGGUUUGUAAGGAGUUGACAGGAACCACUUUUGAACAUCGACCUGAGAUCAGGCAAGGACACCCGCUGAACUUAAGCAUAUCAAUAAGCGGAGGA